RNAcentral lists this non-coding RNA (30 nucleotides) under Rattus norvegicus (Norway rat). The record is from RNAcentral. Lineage: Eukaryota; Metazoa; Chordata; Mammalia; Rodentia; Muridae.
UGUUAUAGGACCUCUGCUGACACAAGAUGU